GGUAGUCCACGCCGUAAACGAUGAGUGCUAGGUGUUGCGGGUAUCGACCCCCGCAGUACCGUAGUUAACACAAUAAGCACUCCGCCUGGGGAGUACGGUCGCAAGACUGAAACUCAAAGGAAUUGACGGGGGCCCGCACAAGCGGUGGAGUAUGUGGUUUAAUUAGACGCAACGCGAAGAACCUUACCAGGGCUUGACAUCCUCUGAAAGCCAUAGAGAUAUGGACCUUACCCUUCGGGGUAACAGAGAGACAGGUGGUGCAUGGUUGUCGUCAGCUCGUGUCGUGAGAUGUUGGGUUAAGUCCCGCAACGAGCGCAACCCCUAACAUUAGUUGCCAGCGAGUAAGGUCGGGAACUCUAAUGUGACUGCCGUUGACAAAACGGAGGAAGGUGGGGAUGACGUCAAAUCAUCAUGCCCCUUAUGUCCUGGGCUACACACGUACUACAAUGGCCGGUACAGACGGAAGCGAAGCCGUGAGGCGGAGCAAAACUGAGAAAGCCGGUCCCAGUUCGGAUUGUAGUCUGCAACUCGACUACAUGAAGUCGGAAUCGCUAGUAAUCGCAGGUCAGCAUACUGCGGUGAAUACGUUCCCGGGCCUUGUACACACCGCCCGUCACACCACGAAAGCUGACAACACCCGAAGCCGGUGAAGCAUAAACC
This 660-nucleotide ribosomal RNA is filed under the name uncultured bacterium. RNAcentral's name for it is "bacterial SSU rRNA". It matches the Rfam family "Bacterial small subunit ribosomal RNA", at positions 789 to 1443 of the family's 1533-position model. The record is from RNAcentral.